UACAGUUUGUUUCUCCUCUUGGACACUCU
Molecule: non-coding RNA, 29 nt
Filed under: Rattus norvegicus (Norway rat)
Lineage: Eukaryota; Metazoa; Chordata; Mammalia; Rodentia; Muridae
Source: RNAcentral